CGAUAACGGCGUCGAGCGGCGGACGGGUGAGUAAUGCCUAGGAAAUUGCCCUGAUGUGGGGGAUAACCAUUGGAAACGAUGGCUAAUACCGCAUGAUGCCUACGGGCCAAAGAGGGGGACCUUCGGGCCUCUCGCGUCAGGAUAUGCCUAGGUGGGAUUAGCUAGUUGGUGAGGUAAGGGCUCACCAAGGCGACGAUCCCUAGCUGGUCUGAGAGGAUGAUCAGCCACACUGGAACUGAGACACGGUCCAGACUCCUACGGGAGGCAGCAGUGGGGAAUAUUGCACAAUGGGCGCAAGCCUGAUGCAGCCAUGCCGCGUGUGUGAAGAAGGCCUUCGGGUUGUAAAGCACUUUCAGUCGUGAGGAAGGUAGUGUAGUUAAUAGCUGCAUUAUUUGACGUUAGCGACAGAAGAAGCACCGGCUAACUCCGUGCCAGCAGCCGCGGUAAUACGGAGGGUGCGAGCGUUAAUCGGAAUUACUGGGCGUAAAGCGCAUGCAGGUGGUUUGUUAAGUCAGAUGUGAAAGCCCGGGGCUCAACCUCGGAAUUGCAUUUGAAACUGGCAGACUAGAGUACUGUAGAGGGGGGUAGAAUUUCAGGUGUAGCGGUGAAAUGCGUAGAGAUCUGAAGGAAUACCGGUGGCGAAGGCGGCCCCCUGGACAGAUACUGACACUCAGAUGCGAAAGCGUGGGGAGCAAACAGGAUUAGAUACCCUGGUAGUCCACGCCGUAAACGAUGUCUACUUGGAGGUUGUGGCCUUGAGCCGUGGCUUUCGGAGCUAACGCGUUAAGUAGACCGCCUGGGGAGUACGGUCGCAAGAUUAAAACUCAAAUGAAUUGACGGGGGCCCGCACAAGCGGUGGAGCAUGUGGUUUAAUUCGAUGCAACGCGAAGAACCC
This 895-nucleotide ribosomal RNA is filed under the name Vibrio parahaemolyticus. Its description in RNAcentral is "bacterial SSU rRNA". It matches the Rfam family "Bacterial small subunit ribosomal RNA", at positions 77 to 971 of the family's 1533-position model. Lineage: Bacteria; Pseudomonadati; Pseudomonadota; Gammaproteobacteria; Vibrionales; Vibrionaceae. The record is from RNAcentral.